RNAcentral lists this transfer RNA (84 nucleotides) under Spirochaetales bacterium. Its description in RNAcentral is "tRNA-Leu". It matches the Rfam family "tRNA". Rfam says of the family: Transfer RNA (tRNA) molecules are approximately 80 nucleotides in length. Their secondary structure includes four short double-helical elements and three loops (D, anti-codon, and T loops). Further hydrogen bonds mediate the characteristic L-shaped molecular structure. tRNAs have two regions of fundamental functional importance: the anti-codon, which is responsible for specific mRNA codon recognition, and the 3' end, to which the tRNAs corresponding amino acid is attached (by aminoacyl-tRNA synthetases). tRNAs cope with the degeneracy of the genetic code in two manners: having more than one tRNA (with a specific anti-codon) for a particular amino acid; and 'wobble' base-pairing, i.e. permitting non-standard base-pairing at the 3rd anti-codon position. Lineage: Bacteria; Pseudomonadati; Spirochaetota; Spirochaetia; Spirochaetales. RNAcentral also lists the same sequence under 1 other name. The record is from RNAcentral.
GCCCAGAUGGUGAAAUUGGCAGACACGCUAGAUUCAGGUUCUAGUGCCUUUACCGGCAUGGGGGUUCAAGUCCCCCUCUGGGCA